GCGAGCGUGGCGGAACCGGCAGACGCGCCAGGUUUAGGUCCUGGUCCCCGACAGGGGGUGGGAGUUCGAGUCUCCCCGCUCGCA
This 84-nucleotide transfer RNA is filed under the name Actinomycetota bacterium. RNAcentral describes it as "tRNA-Leu". It matches the Rfam family "tRNA". From Rfam's summary of the family: Transfer RNA (tRNA) molecules are approximately 80 nucleotides in length. Their secondary structure includes four short double-helical elements and three loops (D, anti-codon, and T loops). The record is from RNAcentral. Lineage: Bacteria; Bacillati; Actinomycetota.